This 73-nucleotide transfer RNA is filed under the name Chloroflexota bacterium. RNAcentral's name for it is "Chloroflexi bacterium (groundwater metagenome) tRNA-Thr". It matches the Rfam family "tRNA". Rfam says of the family: Transfer RNA (tRNA) molecules are approximately 80 nucleotides in length. Lineage: Bacteria; Bacillati; Chloroflexota. The record is from RNAcentral.
GCUGGUGUAGCUCAGUCGGCAGAGCAGCCGCCUUGUAAGUGGCAGGUCGUCGGUCCGAUUCCGACCACCAGCU